UUCUCCAAACCAUUACAAAUCGUAAUUUCUUUAAAGUCUUUGAAUGUGCAAUUUAAAAAAAAAGUAUUUAUAAAAAAUAUUUCCGGUAUGGAACGAGUUGUGUCAAACUACUUCUUUUUUAAACUGCCGUAAAUGGUUUCGGCCGGAAGUAGACGCACUUUCGCGCAUGCGCGGAACAAAUCGUUUUACCGGGACGGGUAGGGACACCGCCCUUCCGUCUCGUUAUUGAUUGUUAAUUAGUUCAUGUCCAGCACCUCUCCCUGUUUGAUUUCUUCCUCUUUAAAUAGUCCUCAUGUUUUAUUGUCCUGUGUCGGUCAUUGUUCCCACAGCCAAGGAGUCUUCAAAGUCUUUUACAUCAAGUAUUGAAAAAGUUUUGGCGCCUCUGCUCUCGAGUGAACCCCACGGAAAUAUGUCAAAGUUUAACCCUCCGGAGCGAUUUCCCUUCAACAAUCCAUUAGAAUGGCCCGCAUGGAAGCAGCGGUUUUGUCGCAUUAGAACAGCAACGAAACUUCACAAAGAUGACGACUCUGUACAGGAUCUCAUCCAGAUCGAUACGAUCCCCUUGCAGACAGGCUUCAAUCAAAUUGCAGCAUUCGGUUAAGGAAGAGCGAAGAGACGAUUAUAACUGGAACUAACUACAGUUGGUCUGAUCUCACCUUCAGUCAAGCUGUGUUUACUCCAUGAGUUUUCAUUGAUCUGGUCCAGGUCUGAAUCUGUGGGAAAUCUCAUGCACACCAUGAGGACCACAGACCAUAGGACCACAUCCAGCGAGUACACUGUCGCCGGCUUUCCAUAGUACUCGCCCCAUUCAAAGUAUUCAGGGCAGGGUUAGAUCACUGUGCGAAAACAAAUAAGCUAAAAACUAUCAAAAUCCUCAUCUAAGUGUUUAUGUAAACUCUUGUUCAUUAGGAGUUGAUAAAACAUACCCAUAUACUCCUUGUAAGCUGAUCUUUUAAGCAGAUCACCGCACCCGAAGUCAAUCAUUUUGACCAGCAGCAUGUCCGGGUUAAUCAGGAGGUUUUCCAGUUUUAUGUCUCUAUGGAAAACCCCCCGCUGGGAGCAGAUUUCAGCUUCAAAAGUCGCUUGCCCCAUGAUAACGUGCGCAAUGUACUCUGUCACUCUGCCUCCGUUGACUUUCAUGAAACUGGUCAGGUCCAUGCAGGGAGAUGGGCUCUCCAGGACCAUGAUAUAUCCGUCCGAAUAGUCCUGCCAGUCCAGAAACUGGAUGAUGACAGGAACAUAUUCUCCCUCACAGGCAAGCAUCUGAAGACCGACCUCUUGUGGAAGAGGCUCAGGAUGACCCGGCUAGAAGAAAAACAAAUGUUGUCAUGAAUAGAUGAAGGUGGUUAAACAAACAAGGAUUUAGUUCAGUCUCAAACAAACUGUGAAGAUGUUUUCAAUUGAAUAUUAACACAAUCUACUUUGAGGAUUAUAUGAAUAUUCUAUCACAUUUUUGGUCUUGACCUCAAGUAUCACUGCCACCUGAUCAACAAAACAAAAAAUGGAUUUGUGUAAGCGUUCAUCCUGAACUGAACUCUGCUAUAAUACAUUUAAAGUGUAUAAACAUGUCAGUACCUGAAAUCACUUGUUUAAGGAUCUAAUCCAGAUCAAUACGAUCCUCUGGAUCCUUCACUCAAAUCGCAGCAUUCUGUUCAGAAAGAAGAGACGAUAAUUCCCUUAAACUGCGAGUUUAUCUGAAUGUCACUUUAAACUCUCAUUCAUCAUCUUAGUCAACAAUUUUAUCAAAGCACUUUCUAUCAUUCAGAACUACAGUUGGUCUGAUGAUCUCGCCUUGAGUCAAGCCGUCUUUGUACAAGAUCCUUUGGUCGCUCAAGUACCGGUCAUUAUAGUUGGAAAAUUUCCCACACACCAUGGCGAACAGAAGCGCCCCAAGCAAGUACACUGUCCCUGGCUGUCCGUAAUACUCGCCCGUUUUGAAAACUCUGGGCAGGCGUAGUCUCUUGUGCCGGAAGAAAACUCAUUUCAUAUCAUUUAACCAUAUACAUUGACACUAAGUGAAUCUGAAUGCUGUCAUCAUUUCAGACACAUCAUUUACAUUUGUAUAAAUAAGAUAACACGCCCAUAAACAUCUUGUAAGAUGACCUUGUAAGCAGAUCGCUGUACCCAAAGUCGAUGAGUUUGACAUAUAGGGUGUCUGUUAUGAGGGGGUGCUCCAUUUUGAUAUCACCGUGGAAAACCCCUCGUCGGCAGCACUUGUAGAUAGCUGUGGUCGCCUGCAACAUGAUGUCGAUGGCCAAAUCCUCAUUGAGUUUUCCCCCGUUGCUCGUAGCAAAAUCAUGAACAUCCACGCAAGGAGAGGGGCGCUCCAGGACCAUGACGUAGAGGUCUGGAUACACCUGCCAGUCCAAGAGCUGGACAACCUCAGGAACGAUUUCUCCCUUACAGGCAAUCGUGUGAAGAGCAACCUCACGUGGGAGAGACUCAGGAUGACCCGGCUAGAAGAAAGACAACAGCAUCUGCAAGACUGUGGAAUUGUGUGCAUGUAAAAAGUGAUGAAGUUUUCAAUUGAAGAAUAAUGGGUACUACUAACGAUUUUGAUAUAAUCCAGAUGCUUGAACAUAUCGUAACGUUUCACUGCCACCUGAACAACAAAACAAGGAUUUACACUUAAAUCAUUUCAUUCAAAGCAUUCAUUUUAACAAUAUUUGUAAUCUAACAUACGAGCAGAAGUGUAUGUUGGGAUUAUGGAAGUAAACUCGCCCUGAAUGACCACGCUGGGCUCCUCAUCUUCCUCCAUCUCCUCCUCAGCCACACUGACUGAUGCUGGCUGGAUUUCUUUAUCCCAAUCCAACUCUUCCUCCCAGUCCGACUCUAUAGCUACUGGAUGGUAUCCAACAGUCAAGUCCGACCCAAAAUGCACUUGCACAAGUGGCUCAUAAAGGACUGGAUCCUGUACGGAUUCAACCGUCGAGUCUGACCCAAUAUGCUGCUGCACAUGGGUCUCCGAAAGGACUGGAUUCUGUGUGGCAUCCAACAGUCGAGUCCGACCCAAAAUGCACUUGCACAAGAGGCUCAGAAAGGACUGGAUCCUGUAUGGAUUGGCACCUGGCAGUCCAAGAGCUGGACAACCUCAGGAACGAUUUCUCCCUUACAGGCAAGCAUGUGAAGAGCCACCUCACAUUGAAGAGGCUCAGGAUGACCCGGCUAGAAGAAAGACAACAGCAUCAUUACACAGUUUGGAAAAACUGAAGACAGUGGAAUUGUGUGCAUGUAAAAAGUGAUGUUUUCAAUUGAACAAUAAUAGGUACGACUAACGAUUUCGAUAUAAUCCAGAUGCUAAGACGUAUUGACACGUUUCACUGUCACCUGAAAUAAAAACAAACAAGGAUUUCUAGUUGAAUCAUUUCAUUCAAAGCAUUAAUUCUAACAAUGUUUGUCAUUUAACAUACGAGCAGAAGCGCAUGUUGGGAUUAUGGAAGUAAACUCUCCCUGAAUGACCACGCUGGGCUCCAUCUUCCUCCAUCUCCUCCUCAGCCACACUGACUGAUGCUGACUUGAUUUCUUUAUCCCAAUCCAACUCUUCCUCCCAGUCCAACUCGAUAGCUGAUGGAUACUGGAUGGUAUCCAACAGUCAAGUCCGACCCAAAAUGCACUUGCACAAGGGGCUCAUAGAUGACUGGAUCCUGUACGGAUUCAACCGUCGAGUCUGACCCAAUAUGCAGCUGCACAUGGGUCUCCGAAAGGACUGGAUUCUGUGUGGCAUUAUCAGUCGAGUCCGACCCAAUAUGCACCUGCACAUGGGUCUCCGAAAGGACUGGAUUCUGUGUGGCAUUAUCAGCCGAGUCCGACCCAAUAUGCAGCUGCACAUGGGUCUCCGAAAGGACUGGAUUCUGUGUGGCAUCAUCAGUCGAGUCCGACCCAAUAUGCACCUGCUUCAAGGGGCUAAGAAAAUAAUCCUGAGUGCCGAGGAUCUCCAGGUCACUGGAUUUCCUGAAACUCUGUAGUGACAAACACGCACAAUCAAAUCAAAGAACAUUCAUGAAAUAAUCAACACUUGAUGUUGCGUUCAUAAAUCCAGCAAGAUACUGAAAUUGACAAAUUUCACUAUUUUUUUUAAGCUGAUUGCUGUCUAACUGUUGUCAAGAGAGAAGGCAUUCAGACAUGUGGCUAUUAAAAACACUUUUCUGGGUUGUUUUGGAAGAACAUCUAUAAUAGUUUAUUAAAUAAAUGUACCAAAGAAGUUGAAUAAUUUAUAAUAAUAAAGAAUCCUUAACUAGUGUAAAGUAGGCUUUGUACAAAUUGUUUUGGGGGAAAAAGAGAACUAAUGUUGACCUUGUUUUCUGCAGUGAAUGUUUUCAAUAAAAGCAGUUGUCCUAUUUUUUUCCCUUUUAAGUCUCAGAAAAUGUUAUUUAUAUUGGAUACUAUAUAUUGAUUAUAGGCUUCCAGUGUCAAAUAAUUAUCGUUAUCAUUAUCGGUCAUAAUGUAUAUAGAUCAUUAUCAUUAAAGACGUUUUGGCCAUUAUUUUUCUGGAGGGCGCUGGCCAAAAAAAAGGUUGAGAACUACUGCUCUGAGGGACCAGCACCACUUCCCCUUUUGAAGAAUUUAUCUUCAAUAAUCUCAAAUUAAGUUUUGGGACUGUUAGUUCAUCUUCAACUCUGACAGCUCUUUGACUUGAACUGGUGCUUGUACCUCAAAAUCACACAAAGUGUGUUCCUUUUUGUGAAACGAAAAGGAGAGUCGCAGUUUGUUUUGUUUAUUUUGUAUAACAUAAUCGAUAAUAGUGAAUCGCGUCUGAGGGUGUCAGUCUCUUAAUGUUCUAUCCCUUUGUGUGCAACACUUAAUUUUUACAUUUGGACUAUAUUAUUUGGAUAAAGAGUCUGCCAAAUGCGUUAAUAUUAGCCUAAUUUACUUUUAAACUGUACCUCUGUGUAUUUGAGAGUAAAAUACUUUUAUUUCAGUCUUGCAUAGAAGGUUUGUAUGCUCUAAAUAUGUAUUUGUUGAUGUAUAUUUUGUAUAAAUAAUAAAGCAAUGUAACAUAAUGUGAUGUUUA
This is a long non-coding RNA of Triplophysa dalaica, 5011 nucleotides long. RefSeq lists it as uncharacterized. The transcript is spliced from 4 exons. The record is from RefSeq and is a predicted model, not a curated record. NCBI's taxonomy places the organism in Eukaryota, Metazoa, Chordata, Actinopteri, Cypriniformes, Nemacheilidae.